Callithrix jacchus (white-tufted-ear marmoset) is the source of this 1284-nucleotide long non-coding RNA. RefSeq lists it as uncharacterized. NCBI's taxonomy places the organism in Eukaryota, Metazoa, Chordata, Mammalia, Primates, Cebidae. The record is from RefSeq and is a predicted model, not a curated record.
GGCAGCAUAACCUCCAAGUUUCAGGAAGCCCAGGAGCCAAAGCAAGGAAAACCUUUGGGAUCCAGCGAAGGAUCCGAAGAGAUAAGCUGUUCAGAUGCCAACUCAGGGCUGCCAAGAUGGUGCAGGAGGCACCUUCGAUUGGUAGGAUGUCCCUCGAGAGAUGUUCCUGAUCUGCUAUUACUGGAAUUUGCAACUCCUGUAAAAAGCUGCUUGGGGCAUGAGUCACCCAGUCGCUGUCCAAACCACUGCCUCUGCAGCGCACCAUCCCGUUCCCCCAUUCUCCUCUCGAUUUCUGCAGCUGCAAUCUGAGAGGUAUUUGUUGCCUCCAGGGAGGGGCCCCAGGACCUGGCGCCAGCAUCCUUCCCCUGGCCAGCUGCCUUUGCACACUGCAGGUAGUCGGAAUUUUCUGGAUUCCAGGGAGAAAUAAGCCUGUCUGAAGAACCUAGACAGUGUAUCUUCUCAUCACCUGGUGCAUACCUAGAGAGAACAAGCCUAAGACAACAUCCGAUUCCUUGCAUUUCUUAAUAAUGAGUUUGGUCUGCAUGCAUCUGGUAGUUUUGCAGAAGCCUGAAUCAGACGCAUUAGGGGCGUCAUCGGGAGAACUGGUUUGUCAAAUGGAUGCAGGCCCGGGAGAAAACAUCAACUAAAAAGACAUCAGUUCUGCCCUCUUCACACCACUCUCUGGAAAUGCUGUAAUAUGCUGUUUUGGAUGGCUGACUUUAAAUCCUAUGUAAUGUGUAGGGAACAUUUGAUGGUACUUGGGUAUAUUAGGGAUGAAGAAAGUGGCCCAAAGUCAUUUUCUCUGUUCUUAAGGAUGGUGGUGGACACAACUGUCAUCAAAGCCUUGUUUUAUACUCUCAAUUCAACUAUUUUGUUGUUGUUGUAGAUGUAGGAAACAGUCUAUGAGGCGGCAAACAAUGAUGAAUGAAUUAAACAUAUACUUGUCCAUAGGGUCUUGCCACUCUAAAUGUGUCUUGAGCUUGUCUGAUCUUGGAAGCUAAGCAGGAUCAGACCUACUUAGUAUCUUGGAUGGGAGACUGCCCGCGAAUACAAAAGCCUAUAAGUUCCCAGCACUUUGGGAGGCCGAGGCGGGUGGAUCAUGAGGUCAAGAGAUUGAGACCAUCCUGAUCAACAGGGUGAAACCCCGUCUCUACUAAAAAUACGAAAAAUUAGUUGGGCAUGGUGGUGCAUGCCUGUAAUCCCAGCUACUCGGGAGGCUGAGGAAGGAGAAUUGCCUGAACCCAGGAGGCGGAGGUUGCCGUGAGCCAAGAUUGCACCAUUGCA